RNAcentral lists this long non-coding RNA (385 nucleotides) under Homo sapiens (human). Its description in RNAcentral is "non-protein coding lnc-TMEM132B-4:3". Lineage: Eukaryota; Metazoa; Chordata; Mammalia; Primates; Hominidae. The record is from RNAcentral.
AGGUGAUCCUUGGACGCCCACAGUACAUCACCUUCAUGAGCGCAUCAGUGAACACCAGUCUAAGGAAGACAUCUCUGAACGUAAUUUUGGAGAUUUUGAUGAGUUCCAUUGAAACAAGGAGGAAUGUGAUGUCCAGUAUCAGUUCUGCAGACCCAAGGACAAAGAAAAUUCUGUGAUAAACUCAUCCAGUGUGACUGUAAUGAUACAAGACACCGGACUUUCAAAUCAACAAUUGUUUCAAAAGACUCCUACUGGAUUCCUGCUAGUGAUGGGAGAAAAUUAUCAUUCUGCUAGUUAAUCUGUAGCCAGAGAUGAUUAAGGAGGUCAUUAAAGGAAAACAAGCUGCCCACCAUGCUGAUGCCUGGUUGUUCAGAUCGUUGAGGUG